This is a non-coding RNA of Octopus bimaculoides (California two-spot octopus), 46 nucleotides long. The record is from Rfam. NCBI's taxonomy places the organism in Eukaryota, Metazoa, Mollusca, Cephalopoda, Octopoda, Octopodidae.
UAACCGGUCCUUUUCAGGACCAUCCAUUUUCUACUGAUAGUAAUUU